Small nuclear RNA from Microcebus murinus (gray mouse lemur), 107 nucleotides. NCBI's taxonomy places the organism in Eukaryota, Metazoa, Chordata, Mammalia, Primates, Cheirogaleidae. The record is from Ensembl.
GUGCUUGCUUUGGCAGCACAUAUACUAAAAUUGAAACAAUACAGAGAAGGCUAGCAUGGCCCCUGCACAAGAAUGAAACGCAAACUUGUAAAGCUUUCCAUAUUUUU